AUAACUUUCAGCAACGGAUCUCUUGGCUCUCGCAUCGAUGAAGAACGCAGCGAAAUGCGAUAAGUAAUGUGAAUUGCAGAAUUCAGUGAAUCAUCGAAUCUUUGAACGCACCUUGCGCUCCUUGGUAUUCCUUGGAGCAUGCCUGUUUGAGUAUCA
Molecule: ribosomal RNA, 156 nt
Filed under: Ceriporia sp.
Lineage: Eukaryota; Fungi; Basidiomycota; Agaricomycetes; Polyporales; Irpicaceae
Description: 5.8S ribosomal RNA
Rfam family: 5.8S ribosomal RNA
About the family: 5.8S ribosomal RNA (5.8S rRNA) is a component of the large subunit of the eukaryotic ribosome. It is transcribed by RNA polymerase I as part of the 45S precursor that also contains 18S and 28S rRNA.
Source: RNAcentral